UCGACGGUGAUCUCGGUGCUUGCACCGGGUGAUCAGUGGCGAACGGGUGAGUAACACGUGAGCAACCUGCCCCCGACCCUGGGAUAACCCCGAGAAAUCGGAGCUAAUACCGGAUACGAGACGCACAGGCAUCUGUAGCGUCUGGAAAGAUUCAUCGGUCAGGGAUGGGCUCGCGGCCUAUCAGCUAGUUGGUGAGGUAGUGGCUCACCAAGGCGACGACGGGUAGCCGGCCUGAGAGGGCGACCGGCCACACUGGGACUGAGACACGGCCCAGACUCCUACGGGAGGCAGCAGUGGGGAAUAUUGCACAAUGGGCGCAAGCCUGAUGCAGCGACGCCGCGUGGGGGAUGAAGGCCUUCGGGUUGUAAACCCCUUUCAGCAGGGAAGAAGCGAAAGUGACGGUACCUGCAGAAGAAGCGCCGGCUAACUACGUGCCAGCAGCCGCGGUAAUACGUAGGGCGCAAGCGUUGUCCGGAUUUAUUGGGCGUAAAGAGCUCGUAGGCGGUUUGUCGCGUCUGCUGUGAAAACCCGAGGCUCAACCUCGGGCCUGCAGUGGGUACGGGCAGACUAGAGUGCGGUAGGGGAGACUGGAAUUCCUGGUGUAGCGGUGGAAUGCGCAGAUAUCAGGAGGAACACCGAUGGCGAAGGCAGGUCUCUGGGCCGCAACUGACGCUGAGGAGCGAAAGCAUGGGGAGCGAACAGGAUUAGAUACCCUGGUAGUCCAUGCCGUANACGUUGGGCACUAGGUGUGGGGCUNAUUCCACGAGUUCCGUGCCGCAGCAAACGCAUUAAGUGCCCCGCCUGGGGAGUACGGCCGCAAGGCUAAAACUCAAAGGAAUU
This 840-nucleotide ribosomal RNA is filed under the name uncultured bacterium. Its description in RNAcentral is "bacterial SSU rRNA". It matches the Rfam family "Bacterial small subunit ribosomal RNA", at positions 62 to 911 of the family's 1533-position model. The record is from RNAcentral.